Molecule: long non-coding RNA, 346 nt
Organism: Harmonia axyridis
Lineage: Eukaryota; Metazoa; Arthropoda; Insecta; Coleoptera; Coccinellidae
Exons: 3
Source: RefSeq, a predicted model, not a curated record
AGAUCAGUCACAUCAUCAAAAUGAAGCUAGCAUCUUUGUUCCUUGUAUUGCUCAUUGCUGUAGCAGCUGAAUGCUCCCUAAAAGCCAAGUAUUUUAGCGACUUCCCCCCUUUCUCAUCUGCAGUAGUUCCAGAGGAAGGCGCGGUAGGAAGUGAUGCAACGGGUGAAUCAAGACCAUAUUAUAUUCCACCAGGGGCAGAAGAAUGGAAGGAGCGUUUACUAGCUUGAAUAUUACAAUGAACUGUUAAUAUUAAAUCUGAAUUGAUAUGCCCACAGACCGAAAAUUAUUUCUAAAAUUAAAAUAAUGAUUGAAUAUCAAUAAUUAAUUAAAAGGAUUGAUGCACAUA